CCUACGGGUGGCUGCAGUGAGGAAUAUUGGUCAAUGGACGAAAGUCUGAACCAGCCAUGCCGCGUGAAGGAAGACUGCUCUAUGAGUUGUAAACUGCUUUUAUACGGGGAUAAAAUGGUAUACGUGUGUGAAGCUGUAAGUACCAUACGAAUAAGGAUCGGCUAACUCCGUGCCAGCAGCCGCGGUAAUACGGAGGAUCCAAGCGUUAUCCGGAUUUAUUGGGUUUAAAGGGUGCGUAGGCGGAUUGUUAAGUCAGAUGUGAAAGGUAGGGGCUCAACCGGGGAAGUGCAGUUGAAACUGGCAGUCUUGAGUGCAGAAGAGGUAGGCGGAAUGCAUGGUGUAGCGGUGAAAUGCUUAGAUAUCACGCAGAACACCGAUUGCGAAGGCAGCUCACUGGUCUGUAACUGACGCUGAGGCACGAAAGCGUGGGGAGCAAACAGGAUUAGAUACCCCAGUAGUC
Molecule: ribosomal RNA, 460 nt
Filed under: uncultured bacterium
Lineage: Bacteria
Description: partial 16S ribosomal RNA
Rfam family: Bacterial small subunit ribosomal RNA
Source: RNAcentral